This is a long non-coding RNA of Bombus pascuorum, 254 nucleotides long. RefSeq lists it as uncharacterized. Lineage: Eukaryota; Metazoa; Arthropoda; Insecta; Hymenoptera; Apidae. The record is from RefSeq and is a predicted model, not a curated record. The transcript is spliced from 2 exons.
GCAAUCUACAAUAAAAGAAAGAAUACAUGAAAUCAUUUAUAAUAUUCAGUAAUAUUUUUAAUUUUUAAUCACAAAUGAUGUUAUUAAUCUUUUCUGAGAAUAAUUAUCGCAACGCCACUAAAAAAUAAUACUAAAUUUUGAUUUUGAAAUGUUGAAAUUCCUUGACCCACAGGAACUCUCGACCCUGUUUCAAUGUUUCAAACUUCAUACAGCCUCGGCGAGAAUUUCUCAAAACAAUCAUCGACUAAUUAGAA